Long non-coding RNA from Gossypium arboreum, 632 nucleotides. RefSeq lists it as uncharacterized. NCBI's taxonomy places the organism in Eukaryota, Viridiplantae, Streptophyta, Magnoliopsida, Malvales, Malvaceae. The transcript has 2 exons. The record is from RefSeq and is a predicted model, not a curated record.
UGCGGGGGUUAACAACUAAAUCAAGCAUUUCUUCUUCUUUUUCAAUCUUUUUACAAAUGGAAAAGAAAUUGAAUGGUGUGUUUUGGUGUGUUGGGGUAUUAGGGUUAGUGACAGUGGUUUUAACAGUGCAUGCAAUCACAUGCGAAGAAGCCGUACAAACACUGAUGCCAUGCGGGGCAUACUUGACGACCCCUGCACCCUCACCCACCCUCGCUUGUUGUCAAGCCGUGGCUAGCGUUAAUGCAUCGGUCAGCACCACUCAGUCACGUAGGGAUCUGUGCGAAUGUUUCAAAAAGAAGGCCCUAGUUUAUGGGGUUGAUCCUUAGAAAGCCAAGCAACUUCCUGGUUUGUGUGCUGCUCAAGUUCCUUUUCAGUGUGAUCCAUCAGUCGAUUGUCAGCACGUCCUAUAGGCAUAGGCAAUGGAGUUACAAGGCAUUCCACCCCCCAAGAAUAAACAGAAGAGCAAGCAUCAAUAACUUCAGAAAGGAAUUCAUUAACUUUGUGUUGCGGAGGACUUUCGUUUCUUGUUUAUCUGAUAUGAGAUAUUUAUGAACAAUAAAAAGAAUUAUCCUUUUUUGAAAAAUGUUAUGAUAUUUUAGCGCUAAAAAUAUAGACUUCAAAAUUUUAUAAUA